Molecule: ribosomal RNA, 499 nt
Filed under: uncultured bacterium
Lineage: Bacteria
Description: partial 16S ribosomal RNA
Rfam family: Bacterial small subunit ribosomal RNA
Source: RNAcentral
GACGAACGCUGGCGGCGUGCCUAAUACAUGCAAGUCGAGCGAAUCUGAUGGGAGCUUGCUCCUUGAUGAUUAGCGGCGGACGGGUGAGUAACACGUGGGUAACCUGCCUGUAAGACUGGGAUAACUCCGGGAAACCGGGGCUAAUACCGGAUAACUUUUUUCUUCGCAUGAGGGAGAAUUGAAAGAUGGCUUCGGCUAUCACUUACAGAUGUACCCGCGGCGCAGUAGCUAGUUGGUGAGGUAACGGCUCACCAAGGCGACGAUGCGUAGCCGACUUGAGAGGGUGGUCGGCCACACUGGGACUGAGACACGGCCCAGACGCCUACGGGAGGCAGCAGUAGGGAAUCUUCCGCAAUGGACGAAAGUCUGACGGAGCAACGCCGCGGGAGUGAUGAAGGGUUUCGGAUCGUAAAACUCUGUUGUUAGGGAAGAACAAGUAUCGUUCGAAUAGGGCGGUACCUUGACGGUACCUAACCAGAAAGCCACGGCUAACUACGUG